Molecule: ribosomal RNA, 440 nt
Filed under: uncultured bacterium
Lineage: Bacteria
Description: bacterial SSU rRNA
Rfam family: Bacterial small subunit ribosomal RNA
Source: RNAcentral
AACGCGAAGAACCUUACCUGGGCUCGAAAUGUAGAGGACGAUAUCAGAGAUGAUAUUUCCCGAAAGGGUCUCUAUAUAGGUGCUGCAUGGCUGUCGUCAGCUCGUGCCGUGAGGUGUUUGGUUAAGUCCAGCAACGAGCGCAACCCUUAUCGUUAGUUGCCAACACGUGAAGGUGGGAACUCUAACGAGACUGCCUGGGUUAACCAGGAGGAAGGUGAGGAUGACGUCAAGUCCGCAUGGCCUUUAUGUCCAGGGCUACACACGUGCUACAAUGGUCGGUACAGAAGGCAGCGAAGCCGCAAGGUGAAGCAAAUCCCCAAAAACCGAUCUCAGUUCAGAUUGUAGUCUGCAACUCGGCUACAUGAAGUUGGAAUUGCUAGUAAUGGCGUGUCAGCAACAACGCCGUGAAUACGUUCCCGGGCCUUGUACACACCGGAGUA